RNAcentral lists this ribosomal RNA (477 nucleotides) under uncultured bacterium. Its description in RNAcentral is "partial 16S ribosomal RNA". It matches the Rfam family "Bacterial small subunit ribosomal RNA", at positions 28 to 507 of the family's 1533-position model. The record is from RNAcentral.
GAUGAACGCUGGCGGCGUGCCUAACACAUGCAAGUCGAACGAAGCACCUUACCUGAUUCUUCGGAUGAAAGUUUGGUGACUGAGUGGCGGACGGGUGAGUAACGCGUGGGUAACCUGCCCUGUACAGGGGGAUAACAGCUGGAAACGGCUGCUAAUACCGCAUAAGCGCACGAGGAGACAUCUCCUUGUGUGAAAAACACCGGUGGUACAGGAUGGGCCCGCGUCUGAUUAGCUGGUUGGCAGGGUAACGGCCUACCAAGGCAACGAGCAGUAGCCGGUCGGAGAGGAUGAACGGCCACAUUGGAACUGAGACACGGUCCAAACUCCUACGGGAGGCAGCAGUGGGGAAUAUUGCACAAUGGGGGAAACCCUGAUGCAGCAACGCCGCGUGAGUGAAGAAGUAUUUCGGUAUGUAAAGCUCUAUCAGCAGGGAAGAUAAUGACGGUACCUGACUAAGAAGCUCCGGCUAAAUACGUG